RNAcentral lists this ribosomal RNA (543 nucleotides) under uncultured archaeon. RNAcentral's name for it is "bacterial SSU rRNA". It matches the Rfam family "Bacterial small subunit ribosomal RNA", at positions 509 to 1050 of the family's 1533-position model. The record is from RNAcentral.
CAGCCGCCGCGGUAAUACGUAGGGGGCGAGCGUUGUCCGGAAUUACUGGGCGUAAAGGGUACGUAGGCGGCUAUAUAAGUCAGGUGUGAAAUACCAGUGCUUAACACUGGAAUUGCAUUUGAAACUGUGUAGCUUGAGUGCAGGAGAGGAAAGUGGAAUUCCUAGUGUAGCGGUGAAAUGCGUAGAGAUUAGGAGGAACACCAGUGGCGAAGGCGACUUUCUGGACUGUAACUGACGCUGAGGUACGAAAGCGUGGGUAGCGAACAGGAUUAGAUACCCUGGUAGUCCACGCCGUAAACGAUGGAUACUAGGUGUAGGGGGUAUCGACCCCCCCUGUGCCGGAGUUAACGCAAUAAGUAUCCCGCCUGGGGAGUACGGUCGCAAGACUGAAACUCAAAGGAAUUGACGGGGGCCCGCACAAGCAGCGGAGCAUGUGGUUUAAUUCGAAGCAACGCGAAGAACCUUACCAGGGCUUGACAUCCCGAUGACCGGUACAGAGAUGUACCUUCCCUUCGGGGCAUUGGAGACAGGUGGUGCAUGGCC